Molecule: ribosomal RNA, 254 nt
Filed under: Staphylococcus aureus
Lineage: Bacteria; Bacillati; Bacillota; Bacilli; Caryophanales; Staphylococcaceae
Description: partial 23S ribosomal RNA
Rfam family: Bacterial large subunit ribosomal RNA
Source: RNAcentral
UAAGGGCGCACGGUGGAUGCCUUGGCACUAGAAGCCGAUGAAGGACGUUACUAACGACGAUAUGCUUUGGGGAGCUGUAAGUAAGCUUUGAUCCAGAGAUUUCCGAAUGGGGAAACCCAGCAUGAGUUAUGUCAUGUUAUCGAUAUGUGAAUACAUAGCAUAUCAGAAGGCACACCCGGAGAACUGAAACAUCUUAGUACCCGGAGGAAGAGAAAGAAAAUUCGAUUCCCUUAGUAGCGGCGAGCGAAACGGGA